RNAcentral lists this ribosomal RNA (800 nucleotides) under uncultured bacterium. Its description in RNAcentral is "bacterial SSU rRNA". It matches the Rfam family "Bacterial small subunit ribosomal RNA", at positions 8 to 804 of the family's 1533-position model. The record is from RNAcentral.
AGAGUUUGAUCCUGGCUCAGAUUGAACGCUGGCGGUAUGCUUUACACAUGCAAGUCGAACGGCAGCACGGGGCAACCUGGUGGCGAGUGGCGAACGGGUGAGUAACAUAUCGGAACAUGUCCGGAAGUGGGGGAUAACGUACCGAAAGGUACGCUAAUACCGCAUAUGCCCUGAGGGGGAAAGGGGGGGAUCGCAAGACCUCUCGCUUUCGGAGUGGCCGAUAUCGGAUUAGCUAGAUGGUGAGGUAAAGGCUCACCAUGGCGACGAUCCGUAGCUGGUCUGAGAGGACGACCAGCCACACUGGAACUGAGACACGGUCCAGACUCCUACGGGAGGCAGCAGUGGGGAAUUUUGGACAAUGGGGGAAACCCUGAUCCAGCCAUACCGCGUGAGUGAAGAAGGCCUUCGGGUUGUAAAGCUCUUUCGGACAGAAAGAAAUCGUGCAGAUUAAUACUCUGUAUGGAUGACGGUACUGUAAGAAAAAGCACCGGCUAACUACGUGCCAGCAGCCGCGGUAAUACGUAGGGUGCGAGCGUUAAUCGGAAUUACUGGGCGUAAAGCGUGCGCAGGCGGUUUUGUAAGACAGGUGUGAAAUCCCCGGGCUUAACCUGGGAACUGCAUUCGUGACUGCAAGGCUAGAGUGUAGCAGAGGGGGGUAGAAUUCCACGUGUAGCAGUGAAAUGCGUAGAGAUGUGGAGGAAUACCGAUGGCGAAGGCAGCCCCCUGGGUUAACACUGACGCUCAUGCACGAAAGCGUGGGGAGCAAACAGGAUUAGAUACCCUGGUAGUUCCACGCCCUA